Molecule: long non-coding RNA, 451 nt
Filed under: Nicotiana benthamiana
Lineage: Eukaryota; Viridiplantae; Streptophyta; Magnoliopsida; Solanales; Solanaceae
Description: long non-coding RNA (NBEN_LNC024159)
Source: RNAcentral
GAGAGAAGAACCUAUGAUUAGCUUUUCGGAAAAUUUCCAAACGAACAAUUUCAACUAAAUCUUUUAGUUUCUUAUUUUACUAUGUUCAACUCUAUGUAUUCCUCUAUCUGUAGAGUACAUUGAAUGUACAAAAAAUGGCUAUAACAGAGUUUCUCUUAUUCAUAUUAACAGCUACUCUAGGGGGAAUGUUUUUAUGCGGUGCUAACGAUUUAAUAACUAUCUUUGUAGCCCUAGAAUGUUUCAGUUUAUGCUCCUACCUAUUAUCUGGAUAUACCAAGAAAGAUGUACGGUCUAAUGAGGCUACUAUGAAAUAUUUGGAAUGUUUCAGUUUUAUGCUCCUACCUAUUAUCUAGAUAUACCAAGAAAAAUGUACGGUCUAAUGAGGCUACUAUGAAAUAUUUACUUAUGGGUGGGGCAAGAUCUUCUAUUCUGGUUCAUGGUUUCUCUUGGC